AAAUUUCACGUGGGGUCUGAAGAGUAUGGUGUGUACUCCCUCACUUAUGAAGGUAUAGAUGUUAUACUUGACUCAGACAGAGGAGAGUGGAAUUUCAUGUGUAAGGGUGAAAUCUGGAGAUCUACGAAGGAACGCCAAAAGCGAAGGCAGCUCUCUCGUCCCUACCGACGCUGAGGUGCGAAAGCACGGGGAGCGAGCAGGGUUUGUAGUCCAUGCCGUAAACGAUGAGUGUUCUUAUUACAUUUUUACUAUUGAGACAUUAUAAAAUUCUUG
Molecule: non-coding RNA, 273 nt
Filed under: Solanum tuberosum (potato)
Lineage: Eukaryota; Viridiplantae; Streptophyta; Magnoliopsida; Solanales; Solanaceae
Description: Bacterial small subunit ribosomal RNA
Rfam family: Bacterial small subunit ribosomal RNA
Source: Rfam by way of RNAcentral